RNAcentral lists this ribosomal RNA (397 nucleotides) under uncultured bacterium. RNAcentral describes it as "partial 16S ribosomal RNA". It matches the Rfam family "Bacterial small subunit ribosomal RNA", at positions 523 to 918 of the family's 1533-position model. The record is from RNAcentral.
AUACGUAGGUGACAAGCGUUAUCCGGAUUUACUGGGUGUAAAGGGCGUGUAGGCGGGUCUGCAAGUCAGAUGUGAAAUCUCCGGGCUUAACUCGGAAGUGUCAUCUGAAACUACGGAUCUUGAGUACUGGAGAGGAUAGUGGAAUUCCUAGUGGCGCGGGGAAAUGCGUAGAGAUCGGGAGGAACACCAGUGGCGAAGGCGGGUAACUGGACUACAACUGACGCUGAGGCGCGAAAGUGUGGGGAGCAAACAGGAUUAGAUACCCUGGUAGUCCACACUGUAAACGAUGAAUGCUAGGUGUAAGAGGUAUCGACCCCUUUUGUGCCGGAGUCAACACAAUAAGCAUUCCGCCUGGGGAGUACGGCCGCAAGGUUGAAACUCAAAGGAAUUGACGGGG